AUCUGGACUACAAUAUAGCUUGAAGUGCUGAAUUGUCAUUAACUAGAGCUGUCGGCUUGAUUUCUGUAGCAGCCAGGGUCGCUGAUCUCAUAUAU
RNAcentral lists this small nucleolar RNA (95 nucleotides) under Sorex araneus (European shrew). RNAcentral describes it as "Small nucleolar RNA SNORA63 (ENSSARG00000020011.1)". Lineage: Eukaryota; Metazoa; Chordata; Mammalia; Eulipotyphla; Soricidae. The record is from RNAcentral.